Molecule: ribosomal RNA, 460 nt
Filed under: uncultured bacterium
Lineage: Bacteria
Description: partial 16S ribosomal RNA
Rfam family: Bacterial small subunit ribosomal RNA
Source: RNAcentral
CCUACGGGGUGCAGCAGUGAGGAAUAUUGGUCAAUGGCCAGAAGGCUGAACCAGCCAUGCCGCGUGAAGGUCAGUGCCCUAUGGGCGUUAAACUUCUUUUGUGCGGGAGCAAUAAUGGUCACGUGUGGCCAGACGAGAGUACCGUACGAAUAAGCAUCGGCUAACUCCGUGCCAGCAGCCGCGGUAAUACGGGGGAUGCAAGCGUUAUCCGGAUUUAUUGGGUUUAAAGGGUGCGUAGGCUGUGAGGUAAGUCAGCGGUGAAAUGCCCCCGCUCAACGGGGUGAAGUGCCAUUGAUACUGCCUGGCUGGAAUGCGGAUGCCGUGGGAGGAAUGUGUGGUGUAGCGGUGAAAUGCAUAGAUAUCACACAGAACACCGAUUGCGAAGGCAUCUCACGAAUCCGCGAUUGACGCUGAUGCACGAAAGCGUGGGUAUCAAACAGGAUUAGAUACCCGAGUAGUC